CAGUAGCCGCGGUAAUACGUAGGGUGCGAGCGUUAAUCGGAAUUACUGGGCGUAAAGCGUGCGCAGGCGGUUGUGUAAGACAGGUGUGAAAUCCCCGGGCUUAACCUGGGAACUGCGCUUGUGACUGCACAGCUAGAGUAUGGCAGAGGGGGGUGGAAUUCCACGUGUAGCAGUGAAAUGCGUAGAGACGUGGAGGAACACCGAUGGCGAAGGCAGCCCCCUGGGCCAAUACUGACGCUCAUGCACGAAAGCGUGGGGAGCAAACAGGAUUAGAUACCCCAGUAGUCCCUGUCUCUUAUAC
This 301-nucleotide ribosomal RNA is filed under the name uncultured bacterium. Its description in RNAcentral is "partial 16S ribosomal RNA". It matches the Rfam family "Bacterial small subunit ribosomal RNA", at positions 509 to 807 of the family's 1533-position model. The record is from RNAcentral.